RNAcentral lists this ribosomal RNA (315 nucleotides) under Triticum aestivum (bread wheat). Its description in RNAcentral is "partial small subunit ribosomal RNA". The record is from RNAcentral. Lineage: Eukaryota; Viridiplantae; Streptophyta; Magnoliopsida; Poales; Poaceae.
AUGCAAGUCAACCGUGAUAGAGCGGAGUGCCAUGCCAAGAUUAUGAGAGAUUAUUUCAACCCUAAUCAAAUCUAUCCGGAGAAGUAUUUUCGCCGCCAAUUUCAGAUGCACACAAGUCUCUUUCUCACCAUUGCAAAAGCCGUGAAGAAGCAUGAUGAUUGGUUCAAGCUCCAGAGGAAUGCAUGUGGAGAGAUAAGGGGACAGCUUCAGGCGGCGCCUAGAGGAGACCAUUGGCGUCAAGCGACGGCAUGGGAGACUCAACUAACAAGGCAGCCUCUUACCGUGAGGUUUCCCCUGUCGCCCUCUCCAAUCUGA